This 87-nucleotide long non-coding RNA is filed under the name Microtus ochrogaster (prairie vole). RNAcentral's name for it is "Taurine upregulated 1 conserved region 2 (ENSMOCG00000008766.1)". It matches the Rfam family "Taurine upregulated gene 1 conserved region 2". Rfam says of the family: TUG1 (taurine upregulated gene 1) is a long non-coding RNA expressed in retina and brain. It was first identified in a screen for genes upregulated by in developing retinal cells in response to taurine. The record is from RNAcentral. Lineage: Eukaryota; Metazoa; Chordata; Mammalia; Rodentia; Cricetidae.
AAAAUGUGUUGGUCUUAGUUCUUUUGUAAUUAAGUCUGGAUGUACCUCAAAAGACUCUUUAAGACUGUGGUGUUAAAGGCUUUCCUC